UUGGCCUACGGGACGCAGCAGUAGGGAAGUUUCGUCAAUGGGCGCAAGCCUGAACGAGCAAUGCCGCGUGAACGAGGAAGGUCUUCGGAUCGUAAAGUUCUGUUGAAGGGGAAAAAGAGCGGAGAGAGGAAAUGGUCUCCGAUUGAUAUUACCCUUCGAGGAAGUCACGGCUAACUACGUGCCAGCAGCCGCGGUAAUACGUAGGUGGCGAGCGUUAUCCGGAAUGAUUGGGCGUAAAGGGAGCGUAGACGGCUGUGCAAGUCUGAAGUGAAAUGCCGGGGCCCAACCCCGGAACUGCUU
This 300-nucleotide ribosomal RNA is filed under the name uncultured bacterium. RNAcentral describes it as "bacterial SSU rRNA". It matches the Rfam family "Bacterial small subunit ribosomal RNA", at positions 334 to 626 of the family's 1533-position model. The record is from RNAcentral.